UAUUGUUAUAUGUAGAGAGAAGGUCAAGAUAAGAACCACAUGUUAGGGACCCGUGAAGGAGAAUUGAGGUUCACGAGCCCAUUGCUUUCCAAUGGGCGGCCACCCCUGAGGUGGAUUGUUGUCUGGUUGGUUCGAAGAGAAUAAUGUUUCUUGUCUUCUAGCUAGUAGGGGGAAAUUAAAAUAGGAUUAAUGAAUUUUUAUUUUUUAUAUUUACAAUAUAUUUUCCAACGAGCCUCAUCUACUGAAAUUGCGAGGAGAAACCCAUCAUCCUCUGGAGCUGCAAGGGAGAAACAAGUAGUCCAAAACCCAGAAUAUGGUCUAUGGAGGCCAAAUUACUGAAACUCUCUCAGAAGGGGUAUUGAGUCUAGCUUCUGGUUUUCACACUUCGAGUGAGUAAGGCUGAUACACCCGUCCAAGAGGUGAGCGGCGAGCAAGCUGAAAAAUCAACACAGGAGACGCCCGUUCUUGAAGAAAAGCCAGCCACCAGCGAAGAAGCUGAAGUAGUAGUGCACGACGGGGAAGACGAUGAAGAUGAAGAAGAAGAAGAGCAUGAAAAAACCCUUGACGAGGAAACUCAGAAUAAAGUGAAAGAUGAAGAAAAUGCAGGGUCACCAAUUAUUGGUGAGGCUGAACCAGCUGCUUCUUUUGAUGAUGAAGCAGAAGCUGAAGUUGAA
Molecule: unclassified non-coding RNA, 674 nt
Filed under: Hevea brasiliensis (rubber tree)
Lineage: Eukaryota; Viridiplantae; Streptophyta; Magnoliopsida; Malpighiales; Euphorbiaceae
Source: RNAcentral